Molecule: ribosomal RNA, 1377 nt
Filed under: Candidatus Taylorbacteria bacterium RIFCSPLOWO2_02_FULL_44_35
Lineage: Bacteria; Candidatus Tayloriibacteriota
Description: partial 23S ribosomal RNA
Rfam family: Bacterial large subunit ribosomal RNA
Source: RNAcentral
UGGGGGCUAAGCUUCACUGCUCAAAAGGGAAACAGCCCGGAUCUCAAUUUAAGGUCCCUAAAUCUAUGCUAAGUGCAUCACAAGGUGGUGGAAUUUCUCAAACAAUGAGGAGGUAGGCUUAGAAGCAGCCAUCCUUGAAAGAAAGCGUAACAGCUCACUCAUCGAGAGAUUCUGCGCCGAAGAUAAUCGGGGCUAAGCAUAGUACCGAAACUGAGAGUGCCGUGCGUAGCACGGAAUUUCCAAGUUCCAAUAACCAAGUUUCAAACAAUAAUUAAUUUUUAAUAUUAAAUUUUAAAAUUUGUUUGUGAUUUGGAAAUUGUGAUUUGGAAUUUCCGCGCUGUGCGCGGCGCGGUAGGAGAGUAUUCGCAUCGCAUUGAAGCUCUAGCCGUGAGGCGGAGUGGAGCGUUGCGAAGCAAGAAUGUUGGCACAAGUAACCACAAAUCCCGAUGAGAAAUCGGGACGCCGAAAGACCAAGGUUUCCUUGGCGAUGAUUGUCAGCCAAGGGUUAGUCGGGCCUAAGCCAAUGGCGAAAGCCGCAGGCGAUGGACACACGGUUAAUAUUCCGUGACUUUUAUAAAAAUCGACGGGAGGACGGAGCUUAGUAUGCCGAGCGCCUUAUUGGAUUGGCGUUCAGGCCGCGAGGAAGAUGCCUAGGAAAAUCCGGGUAUGCCCUUUAGUGGGACUUCCCAGCGGAUCGAAGACCGUGCGUAGCACGGAAAUUCCAAAUUCCAAAUCACAAAUUCCAAACAAUAAUUAAAUCUCAAUUUUCAAAAAUUAAAUUUUGAUUAUUGAAGUUUGUUUGCCCGCCCGAACGACCGUUCGGUCGGUCGGGGAGCUUGAAUAUUGGAGCUUGGUGCUUCCGCGCUGCGCGCGGGAUUUGGCAAAGCGGGCUUCCAAGAAAAUUCCCUAAGAUUAUUUUUAUGAAAACCGUACCGCAAACCGACACAGGUGGUCAGCUCGAGAAGAGCAAGGCGAACGAGUGAAGGUUCUCCAAGGAACUCGGCAAAAAAUCAGCCGUAAGUUAGCGAUAAGGCUUGCCAGCGCAUCUCACUAAGGUGAGAUGCUUAAAUGUAAAAUGUAAAUCUCAAAAUGUAAAAUGACAAUGAAAAAUCUGAAAAUUUUUAUUUUAAAUUGUAAUUUUUAGUUUUGAUUUUUUAAUUUUGAAUUUGAGCACCGAACUUUUGUGAGGUGCGUUGGCUGCAACAAAAGAAUGCCUGGCGACUGUUUAUCAAAAACACAGCUCCCUGCGAACUCGAGAAGAGGAUGUAUAGGGGGUGACACUUGACCAAUGCCAGAAGGUCAAAUAACGGCGUUGUCCCGAUGUAAAUCGGGAUGGUGACUGUUAUAAGCCCUGGUGAAUGUCGGCAAUAACUAUAA